This 253-nucleotide ribosomal RNA is filed under the name uncultured bacterium. RNAcentral describes it as "partial 16S ribosomal RNA". It matches the Rfam family "Bacterial small subunit ribosomal RNA", at positions 524 to 776 of the family's 1533-position model. The record is from RNAcentral.
UACGUAGGGUGCAAGCGUUGUCCGGAAUUAUUGGGCGUAAAGAGCUCGUAGGCGGUCUGUCGCGUCUGCUGUGAAAAUCCAGGGCUCAACCCUGGACCUGCAGUGGGUACGGGCAGACUAGAGUGCGGUAGGGGAGAUCGGAAUUCCUGGUGUAGCGGUGAAAUGCGCGGAUAUCAGGAGGAACACCCGUGGCGAAAGCGGCUCUCUGGAACGGUACUGACGCUGAGACGCGAAAGCGUGGGGAGCAAACAGG